CUAAUUUAAUAGUGCACUGAUGAUCCACAACCUGAAACUUUUUUUUUUUAAGAAAUCAUCUAAGCUACAGCAAAUUACCUAUCCUAAUUGAAACAAAACCAAGACUUUGAAGAAACCCUUGAACUUACAGAUACAGUAUUCAAUUCCUUCUACCAGUCUUAUACCAUACUCUUCCUGCCUAAUUCUCCUAAAUUUCCUGCCAUAUCCAUAGAAUACAUAUCCCGAUCCAAACAAAAAGAAGACUUUUAAGAAAACCUCGAUUUAGAGAUAUCAAACAAUUCUUUCAACCAGUCCUGCACCUUGAUCUGACAGCCUGAAUUUAAUAUCUAAAGGUGUUUAAUU
Molecule: long non-coding RNA, 342 nt
Organism: Macrosteles quadrilineatus (aster leafhopper)
Lineage: Eukaryota; Metazoa; Arthropoda; Insecta; Hemiptera; Cicadellidae
Exons: 3
Source: RefSeq, a predicted model, not a curated record